AGCAAAAACAGUAAUACUCUCUCCCUCUGUUUUUAAGCUAACUCGCCUCCCUCAUCCAUCCACUGCAACUCCUGCUCCCUCUCUCUCUUUCUCUUCCAUUUAUCUACAUGCCAAUCCAUGGCGGUCCUUAGCUCUCGCUCCCUCCUUUCUCCUUCUUCUUCUCUUUUCUAUCUCGUAAAGCUCAAUCCCUCCUCUUCUCUCCCUUCUUCAAUUUCCUUUCCUCUCUUCAACUCCCAACCCAAGCUCCACACCUCAAAUCUCAUUUUCAAAACCGAAGCCGUGUCUUCAUCAUCUAUCGUCGGCGUCGGCGAGGACUUGCCCGCCGAUUACGACGAAUGGUUUCCCAAACCUGAUCCUAUCCAUAGGAGGAGAGCCGGCAUUUUGCUCCAUCCGACGUCGUUCCAAGGGCCAUACGGCAUUGGAGAUCUCGGAGACGAGGCUUUUCGUUUCAUUGAUUGGCUUCAUGACGCUGGUUGCUCUGUUUGGCAGGUUCUUCCUCUUGUGCCUCCAGGAAGAAAGGCUAAUGAAGAAGGAUCACCAUACUCAGGGCAGGAUGCAAAUUGUGGUAAUACGCUCUUAAUUUCUCUGGAAGAGCUUGUAAAGGAUGGAUUGUUGACAAAGGAUGAGCUUCCAGAUCCAGUAAUCUCUGAUCGUGUGAACUUUUCUGCUGUUAGUAAGCUAAAGGAUCCCUUGGUAGCUAAGGCUGCAGAGAGGCUUAUUCAGAGUGGUGGUCAGCUUAAAAGUCAGCUUGAAGAUUUCCGCAAAGACCCUAGAAUAUCAGGUUGGCUUGAAGAUGCAGCUUAUUUUGCUGCUAUUGAUGAUACUUUAAAUACAUUGAAUUGGUACGAUUGGCCUGAACCUUUAAAAAACCGCCAUCUUGCAGCCUUGGAGGAAAUUUAUCAAAGCAAAAAGGAUUUUAUAGAGAUUUUCAUCGCCCAACAGUUCUUGUUCCAGAGGCAAUGGCAGAAAGUGCGCAACUAUGCAUGGGAGAAGGGAAUUAGUAUAAUGGGGGACAUGCCCAUUUAUGUAGGUUAUCACAGUGCUGAUGUUUGGGCAAAUAAGAAACAUUUUUUGUUGAACAGGAAUGGCUUUCCUCUUCUAGUCAGUGGUGUUCCUCCUGAUGCCUUCAGUGAUACAGGUCAAUUGUGGGGCAGCCCUCUCUAUGAUUGGAAAGCCAUGGAGAAAGAUGGAUAUUCAUGGUGGAUACGCCGCAUACAACGAGCUCAAGAUCUGUAUGAUGAAUUUAGGAUUGACCAUUUUAGAGGUUUUGCUGGAUUUUGGGCUGUUCCUUCUGAUGCAAAAAUUGCAAUGGUUGGAAACUGGAAGGUCUGGUUUCUGUAAUUCUCAUUAAAGUGUAAUUUUUGUAAAUUUUCCUGUUAUCCAAUCUAGAUAUUAUUUUGAUGACAGUAGGCUGGACCUGGGAAAUCCGUCUUUGAUGCCAUCUCCAGAGCUGUUGGAAAGAUCAGCAUCAUAGCAGAAGAUUUGGGAGUUAUUACUGAGGAUGUAGUGCAGCUUAGGAAAUCUAUUGGUGCUCCGGGAAUGGCUGUCCUUCAGUUUGGUUUUGGAAGUGAUGCAGAUAACCCUCAUUUACCUCAUAACCAUGAAGCCAAUCAAGUUGUAUACACUGGAACUCAUGAUAAUGAAACGAUCCGAGGUUGGUGGGAUGUUGUGGAGCAAGAGGAGAAGUCAAAUGUACUGAAGUAUCUUUCAAUUACUGAAGAAGAUGAUAUAUCAUGGGCACUCAUCCAAGCUGUAUUUGCAUCAGUGGCCCAAACUGCUGUAAUACCCCUGCAAGAUAUUCUUGGACUUGGGAGUUCUGCCAGGAUGAACAUUCCUGCUACUCAGGUAAAGAAUAUCUUGAUAGAUAGAUAGACAGGUGCACAGGGGCUCCAUUGUCCACUAGUAUCUAGUCCAGUGUUAGAUAUGGCUUGCAGAGAUCCCACUUGAAAAUUUCUAGGACUUACACAAUGCUUCCAGAUUCCAGCCAUGCAUUGGCCACUGCUAGAUUAGAUAUUGUAAAUUCUAUUGUGCUUUAGCUACAUGCACCUAAAUUAAAUUUUUUAUGAACUGCUCACCAUACAUUGGGGCUAACCUGAUUCACCUUAUUCAAUAUGUCACCGUCUUUCUAGGCCUCUAAUCUGUAUAUUUGACCCUUUUUCUUCCUAUUCUGGUCAUAUUAUUGACUUGGCAAAUCUCAGCCUGGUCCCUGGUUAGUCCGUCCACCUCCAGAUUACGAAGCAUCCUUUAUUACACCAAUUCCCAUGGGAUUGAGAUUACUUGAGAUGAUAUAAUGACUUGUUUUUCAACUAUUGAAUUUUAACUAAAAUUCAUGAAAGUUUUCCACAUAAUUUGGGCAUUUGGCUCUUUGAUGUAUCUAUUUUAAUGAUUUGGAUGCAGUCUGGAAACUGGAGUUGGAGGAUACCUAGUUCCAUAAGUUUCAAUCAAAUGGAGAAAGAAGCAGCAAGACUAAGGGAUUUGCUUUCAAUGUAUGGGCGGGUGUAGAUGAGGACAGCAAAUGCAUUCUUAGAGGCUACACUUGGAUUUUGCUUCCGCAAGCUUCAAUGAACCUUUUAGUUUAGCGCUUAGGCCACCUCAGAGGCUAC
RNAcentral lists this unclassified non-coding RNA (2603 nucleotides) under Hevea brasiliensis (rubber tree). Lineage: Eukaryota; Viridiplantae; Streptophyta; Magnoliopsida; Malpighiales; Euphorbiaceae. The record is from RNAcentral.